AAAAAGUUUUAUUCUAGCUUAAAAAUAUUAAGUAAUAGAUUAUUAUACAUGUAAUUAUAUAAAUUAAUAUUGUUAAUUCUAAAUGAGUAACAUUUUAAUACGCAGUAUAUAACAUUGUUAAUUUAAUAAUAUUUAAAAUAGUAAUUUACAUUAGAAAAGACAUAUUUUGUGCCAGCAGUCGCGGUUAUACAAAAUUUUCAAUUUAAUAUUUUAAGUUUUCAGUUAUUUAAUUUAUUUUAUUUAAUUAUUUAAAUUUUAGUGAAAUAUAUUUAUUAUUAGUUAAUUUUAUAUAUCUGAGAAACUAUUAAUAUAAACUAGGAUUAGAUACCCUAUUAUUAUAAAGUUUAAAAUUAUUAACUUGAUUAUUAUUAGAUAUGAUCUUUAAAUUCAAAGAAUUUGGCGGUAAUAUAUCUUUUCAGAGGAAUCUGUUUUGUAAUUGAUAAUCCACGAUAGAUUAUACUUUAUUUUAAUUUGUAUACCGCUGUCAAGAAUGUUCUUUCAGGAUUAAAUUUUCUUUAUUUUUAAUAAAAAUUAUGUCAAGUCAAGGUGCAGUUUAUUUUAAAGAAAAAAUGGAUUACUAUUAAUAGAUGUUUUGAAAUAUUUAAUAUUUUAAAUAUAAAAAAUUGGAUUUGAUAAUAAAUUAAUUAAAUUUAAUUGUUUGAAUUAAGCUCUAUAUUAUGUACACAUCGCCCGUCACUCUCAUUUAUAAGUUGAGAUAAGUCGUAACAAAGUAGUUGUACCGGAAGGUGUAGCUAGAAUGAU
RNAcentral lists this non-coding RNA (762 nucleotides) under Trombonia linearis. The record is from RNAcentral. Lineage: Eukaryota; Metazoa; Arthropoda; Insecta; Hemiptera; Cicadidae.